GGAAAAACAUGGUCUGUUGAGGAAUUCUCAAGAUUGGGGUUUUAUUCGGAAUUGCAGAAAAGGGCCUGUCCCAGGAUGCCCGACCCUAACCGGGCUCAUGGGCGGUCCUCUGAUUUAGUUAAACUCAAAAGGGAUUUGGGGUUUUCUUCAUUAAACAGUCCAAAAUCAUAUUACAGAAUUUUACAAACAGUAUCAUCCUCACUCAUUCAUCUUAUACAACAAUUAGAUGUAAACCUCAUAUCUGAGGCUAUUAUAUAAACAGCGUUAUGGUAAUGUGGUCACACCGCCUCUCAUGAGUUUCACCAAUUGUACCAAACGGAUCAGUUCGUAGCUGGAUUCUUCACCGAUCUUUUAUACCUUCUCCGGAACAUAAAUGUUGCUCUGACCUCAAGUUCUGUGAGGUGGAAGAAAUUCCUUUGUUCUCUAUGAAACUUCACUCUGUCUCUAUACUGUGUGGCCAUGAGGCAGGAUCUUCCUGGAAUUUACCUCUCUCUGACCACAGCAGCCUGUGUGCAGGAGGCAGGGAGAGGCAGGGAGAGGGGGAUGGGGCUUGCUGUACCCAAAGAGUUGUACCCAACGUCAUGACACUGGUAUUUGCCACUUACAUAUUCCAUUUGUUAAAUUGCUAAUUCAAAUUGGACUGUAUCCAAGAGACUGUAUCCAAGGGGGAGGGCAGGCUGAAAAGACAACACCGGUCAUGGAGGAAUCCUGGUUGGCAGCAAAUGCGUGAGUCUUUGUUUGUGCAUACUUGUGUGUUAGACAGUAUCACACACCAAGAAUGAUCUUCAAUGGAGGUCUCCUGCCCUGUCUUGGACUAAUAAUAAGAUAGAUUAGGAGAAAGACAAGUCCAACGUGCUUCUACACCUGCAUUGCUUGCUGUUUGGGGUUUUAGGCUGGGUUUCUGUACAGCACUUUGAGAUAUCAGCUGAUGUACGAAGGGCUAUAUAAAUACAUUUGAUUUGAUUUUGAUUUGAACAGAGAGCUCCAGGAAGAUCUGUCUACAGGUGGUGGUGCCGUAACUUGAGGUCGGGCUGGGGAUGAUGACUGCAGGCAUAGUUCUGGAUGCUGUACAGACUGGCCCACCGGCCUAAAGAUAGACUGGCCCACUGGGCAUUUGCCCAAACUGCUCUUUGGCCAGUCCUUUUCAGGUUGGAAAUGACAAACAGGCCAUAAAGAUCAUCAAGGACAUCAACCACCCGAGCCACUGCCUGUUCACCCCGCUGCCAUCCAGAAGGCGAGGUCAGUACAGGUGCAUCAAAGCUGGGACCGAGAG
Molecule: long non-coding RNA, 1273 nt
Organism: Oncorhynchus tshawytscha (Chinook salmon)
Lineage: Eukaryota; Metazoa; Chordata; Actinopteri; Salmoniformes; Salmonidae
Source: Ensembl